UGGGGAAUAUUGCGCAAUGGGCGAAAGCCUGACGCAGCAACGCCGCGUGCGGGAUGAAGGCCUUCGGGUUGUAAACCGCUUUCAGUGGGGACGAAAUUGACGGUACCCACAGAAGAAGCCCCGGCCAACUACGUGCCAGCAGCCGCGGUAACACGUAGGGGGCGAGCGUUGUCCGGAUUUAUUGGGCGUAAAGAGCUCGUAGGCGGCUCAGUAAGUCGGGUGUGAAAACUCCAGGCUCAACCUGGAGACGCCACCCGAUACUGCUGUGGCUAGAGUCCGGUAGGGGAGCAUGGAAUUCCUGGUGUAGCGGUGAAAUGCGCAGAUAUCAGGAGGAACACCAGUGGCGAAGGCGGUGCUCUGGGCCGGAACUGACGCUGAGGAGCGAAAGCGUGGGGAGCAAACAGGAUUAGAUACCCUGGUAGUCCACGCCGUAAACGUUGGGUACUAGGUGUGGGGCCUUAUCAACGGGCUCUGUGCCGAAGCUAACGCAUUAAGUACCCCGCCUGGGGAGUACGGCCGC
RNAcentral lists this ribosomal RNA (520 nucleotides) under uncultured bacterium. RNAcentral's name for it is "bacterial SSU rRNA". It matches the Rfam family "Bacterial small subunit ribosomal RNA", at positions 355 to 889 of the family's 1533-position model. The record is from RNAcentral.